This 10879-nucleotide long non-coding RNA is filed under the name Medicago truncatula (barrel medic). RNAcentral's name for it is "long non-coding RNA (MTRU_LNC006250)". Lineage: Eukaryota; Viridiplantae; Streptophyta; Magnoliopsida; Fabales; Fabaceae. The record is from RNAcentral.
GAUAUACAAUCAAUGGUGUUCACAAUACAAAUCAGAUACAGACUCUAAAGACUCUAGAAUUUCUAAGAUAUGAGCUUUGAUAAGAAAUUCUAAGAGAACUUUGAAUGCAGAACAAUUUCAGCAGAGUUUUGGCUCAGUUAAUUCUUGGUAUUGUUCUUAUAAAACUCUGAGUCUUCACUCCUUUAUAUAGAGGUGUGAAAGAGAUAUUGAAUUGCCAGCACAUCCAAAAUAGAGUCGUUUGAAGCUUUUGAUCAAUCACCAAUGAUUCUUUGCCUGAUAUGGUUAUUGUUCUACGAAGGAUCAAUUUCAAAUGUAUUCCCAUUGAGAAGGAACAAUGCUGUAGGCAGAGCUGUUUUUCUUGUUUUGUAGUAGAGACAAAAAUAGAGUAGUGGAGAUAUUGGUUGUACACUUCGUACAAACGUACUAUGUCAACGCUCUUUGAAGAAUAAGCAUCCAAUGUCUUCUAAUCUUUCCAAAAUAGUUGUUGCUAUAUUUUUCCAGUCUUCUGCAAUCUUCAGACGAGUUUGAAUCCGUUAAACAGCUUUUGAAGCUUUAAGUUGCAUCUCCUAAUGAACUACAACUUCUAGUGAUCUUCAGCUUCUAAUAAACUUGCUUCUGAUGAACUUGCAUCUGAUUACCUUGCUUCUGAUGACGUCAUCACUUCAGGAGCACUUUGUCUUCAAGAGCGUUUUAACUUCAGGAGCAGUUUUCUUCAGACGCUUUAAGCAUCACUUUUUUUUGUUGAUGUAAUUGCUCUUUAUUUGUUCUUCCAAGACCUUUUUAUGAUGUCAAAUUUUUGUCUAUAAUCCUAUACACUUGAACAAAUAUUAGCAUAUUCAGUUGACAAUUUUAAUACUUUGUUAUCAUCAAAACUCUUAAGGGUUAUUAUUGCUAAACACAUUUUGUUCCCACAAUCUCCCCCCUUUUGAUGAUGACAAACAAUAGUAUUUAAAAUGUUCAAUUGUUGUUAAUUUAAUUAACACGUUGACUUUAAGGGUAUGAGGUUUGUAAGCUCCCCUUGAGUCCAAUAGUUCUUUAAGGUGAGGUUUGUAAGUUCCCCCUGAUUUCUAUCCAUGUUUAUUAAAUUCAUCAUUAAAUUCGCACUAAUUCUCAUAAUAAACUCACAAUAAAAGACUAAGAGAUUAGAAGAUGGUCCUAUUAAUUUAACUUGAUUAGAAUUAAAUUAAUGGGGCUCAGAGCAUAUAAAUAAUAUACAUCUACUCCCCCUUUUAUCAUCAACAAAAAGUAUAAAAUAAGACAAAACGAAAGAGAUAAAAAAAUAGUGAGAGAUUCUGAAGAAUAUAUAUAUCAGAGCAACCAAUGAAACAAGAAGUAUACAAGAAGUUCAGAAACAAUGAAACACAGCAUACAAGAAGAUUCAGAAGCAAAUUAGAAAGUGCAGAAGUAAACAACUUAGAAGAUAAAACUAAACAAGCUUAAAAAAAUAGGUGUGCAACUAAGGUUGAGCUUGUUUUUGAAUCAUCUCCAUCAUAUAUUGCAUCAUUCUUUGGGUUUCAUCUGCCUUUCUGUUCAUCUCUUGCUUAAAUUCUUGCAACUUAGCAUCUGUGGACAUCUUGUAUUUAAGCAUGAGUAGCUUCUGAUUGAGAAGUUCCUUUCUCAGUUGCUUGUUUUCCCUUUCAAGUUCUACAUUCCUUUGCAAAAGCUCCAAUUCAGUAGAAGCAGACUUGAAGUAAAUCUUCUGGAGAAAAGUUAAAUCCAAUUCUCUUGGAUGCACUCCUACUGGAAUGAAAUCUGUUGGAUUUCUUUUUCUUAGACAUGGAGGAGAUUACACCCAAGUUCUUAGAACUUUCACUUUCUUCAGAUCCUGGUCAAUCCCUUUGAGCCAGUUCUGGAAUUUCAACUGAGCAGCAUCUUGAGCUUCCAUGCAGGUUUCCUGUAGAGCAGUCAGAACAUAGUCUACUAUUUCCUUCAGCCUAUUCCAAUGUUGUUCCUAAUUAUGCUUAUGAAUCAUCUCUUCUCUAUCUUGAAUCAGAUUAGUCAGUUCCUUGUAAAUAUUUUCACACACAUCUGACAAAAGUGUAGAAUCAAGAAAGAUUGUUGGUGGAGAAUGUAUUUUUGGUUGUUUGGUUGGGGCUAUUGGUUGAAUGGCUAAGGAAGUUGAAGGUUGGCUGUUUGUAGAGAUGGGAGUUUGACUAGUUUGAUUUGUUUGAUCAGAACCAGACUCCAUGAUUACAUCAGAAGAAGAGUUUUUAGGCUCUUCCUCAACAUCAGAGGCAUCUGAUGUGAUCAUACGUUAUGAUUCAGAAUUUGGUUAGGAGAUAGUUGGUGAAGAGGGUUGUUGUUUAGAAACAAGUUGUUCAAAAGUGGUUUGUUGUAAUGUUUCUGAUAGAGGUUGUUCAUAAGCAAAUUAUUCAGGAACAUUUUGUUCAGAAGUGGGAAUGGUUUCAGGUUGUUGUUGUUGGGGUCUUCUGAAAUAACUUCUUCUGAAGCUACUUCAGAGGCUCUUUGUGGUUCAGGGUUGGUUUCAGGUUGAAUCACAUUGAGAAGUUGGAUGUAUGAUGGUUGGAAAGGAUGAUCAAGAGGUAGAUGUUGACAAACAUCUAUUUUCCUUUGAGAUAGAUUUCCAAUCCUUUCAUCUGGAGUAGGAACCAUAGGUUCAUAGGUUGAAGUUUUCAACUUUGGCUUUUUAUGGAUCUUGGAGGUUGGUGAAGGGCUUUUGUGAAUAGUUGGAUACAACUCUUCUAAUGACAUGUCAUCUAAAUUUAAAGAGGAUGGGGAUGAUGAUGAUUCAGAUGAAAUGGAGGAGGUUGAGUCUGAUUCUACAACUAUUACUUUUUCAGAGUGAGGAGAAUUGGAAAUAUCUUGAUGACUAUCUGAGAUAGUAGCUUCUGAAGAACCAGUAGCUGUGUUCAACAGAUGUUCUGCUUCAGAAGCUAUCAGACCUUGUACUUCUUCAGCAACUUUUAGCACUUGCUCAACAUCUGCACCCACAUCUUCCUUUACUAUGAUGGAUGCAGGGAUCUCUGUCUGCUUUGCAAUCUCUAAGGCCUUCUGGAUUGCAAUCUCCUCAGCUUGCUUCUUCCUUAGUUCUCUUGUAACUAAGUCAGGUGCAGCCUCUUCUCCCUCUUCUUCUUCAGAUGCAGCUGAUGCCAUUAUUAGCUUUCUGAUAGCAUGCUUCCUCUUUUUCUUUGAAAUAGCAGGCUGCUCAGGAGCUUCUUGAGAGGUUGCAGCUUCCUUGCUACUUCUGGUCCUAUUUUCCAAGAUCUCUUCAGCAUUAAGAUCCUGAACUUCCUCUUGAAUUGUUGGCAAUUCAGAGCCAGCAAUCUGUUCAGAUGAGGACGUCUCCUUUUUGUACUUCUUUGCUUUCUUAGAGGUUUGUUCAGAAGCUUCCUCUAAGUAAGCAUCCUUGCUGAUGACCUUCCUUUUUGUUUUCCUGCUCUUGGCUACAGGCAAGGCUCCUCCAUACAUUGUCUCAGGUACAUCCCUCAGACUGAUUUUUGUGCUUGUUAUUGCAAAGUGUUCCUUGAUGAAGUGCAUCUGAACAUCAAGUGGAUCUUGUUUGCAGAUUGGAGGAAAGUCCUUCAUGAUAGCUGAGACUACAUCAGAUUCCUUCAUAUCUGUGCUUAGUCUUUUGUAAUUUUCCUUACUGUUUAACCUCAUCUUUAUCAAAGUUUCUCCACUGAUGAUUUUCCCAGUUUCAGUUCCCAACUGAUCAUCAGUGAAGAAAUCCACCUUGCAAAGAAGGUUUAUGAGUCCUCCUUGGUGGAAUAUCUCUGAGAAGAGCCUUCCAUAUGGUACCCAACAUAUGUUCUUCAGCUGGCUCUCCCUUAGCUGUUGAAUCAUGUGCCUGAAGAUGUAUCUUGGCACAUUUGCUGGUUCACCAGUGAUGAAGAGAUGAAGAAGUAUCUUGUGCUCCAAUGAUGGUUGAUCACUGCCACCACCUUUUGGUAGCAGAUUAUCAUUCUGAAUCUUCAGCAUCAUUUUCUUUUCCAUGCUCAUAUCAGCAUAGACGCCCUUCUCCUUGCUAUUAAAGAUUGACUGAUUGACAAUCUGAUUCCAGGAGUUAUUCUUAGCACUCUUGAUUCCUCUCCUAUAAGUUCCUUUUGUAGGUCUUCUGAGGACGAAGGCUAUAACUUGUUCUGAAAUAGCAACAUGGAUACCCAUGAUGCUUGACCCGAUUUUAAUUCUUUCAAAGGGUUCCAAACCCAUUUCUUCCCUUGAUUUCCCUUUAAGUUCUGGAUGUAAGAACUUUUUCAUCUUAUUCUAGUUUGACUGCUUCUUUGUCAUAGACGAUUGCCCUAACCCAGAAGGGACGUACCAACGUCUGAUAGGUAGGUCCAUUCAUAAAAUUGAAGUAGCUUCUCAGCCCUUGUACAUCAUAGUAUUUUCCAAUGUCGCAUCCAUGGUAUGUUAGCGAAGUGAAAUCUACUGGACUUUCAGUAUGAAUUUUCAAAUCCCAUUCAUCCAAGGACAUGGUUCUUCCCUUUAUCUCAUACCUAGGAGCAGCUACUUGUUGCAUGUUAGACGAUGAUCCAGGAGUAGAACUUGAAGAAGCCAUUUGAAGAUAUAGAUGAAAUUUGAGUUUCUAGGUUUUGAGUUACGAGAUUGCGCUUACUUCGUAGAGAGUAGUUUGAGAAGAUGAAUGUGUAGGUUGUGAAGUGAGUAGUGUGUGUUUUGUCUAAGUGUUUUGAGUAAAACGUUUGCAAUUCAGAAGGGGACAAACAAACACAGCAUUAAUGAUAAUUGGGGACGCAUGAUAGUAUGUUCAAAGCAAAAAAGCAUCAUUGCCCUCCAAAGUCAUACACCAAUACAAAUAGACCACGUCAGAAGCGUUUCAGAAUAACUGCUUAGUUAGUGGGACAGAUGUUACUGAAAAGUAACUUCCAACGUUUCCACUAACACUGCUAUUCAGAAGCAAGGAAUACAACUUCUGAAGUUUAAGUGCUGACGUCAUCUUCAAAAGCACAUUUUCCUCAGAAUCUCAAUUAAGAGCUUCUGAUGGACCAUAGCUUUUGAUAAAGACUACAUAACCAAACUUCUUGUUCAGGAGUAAGCAAAUUUAAUCAGACACAAAGUGCAUGUUCAAAUUUUUCUUGAUAAAAUCAAAUCUUUCCAUAGUUAAAGGUUUAGUGAAUAUAUCAGCCCAUUGAUGUUCAGUAUCAAUGAAUUGUAUAUCUAAAAUUCCUUUUUGAACAUAGUCUCUAAUAAAGUGGUGUUUGAUUUCAAUAUGUUUGGCUCUUGAAUGCAGAAUUGGAUUCUUUGACAAACAAAUAGCAGCAGUAUUAUCACAAUAAAUGGGAAUACUGUUAGCAUUUAUCUGAUAGUCUUCCAACUGAUGUUUCAUCCAAAGUAGUUGUGUACAACAACUUGCAGCUGAGAUGUAUUCUGCUUCUAUUGUAGACAUUGCAAUAUUUUCUUGUCUUUUGCUAGCCCAGGAUAUCAGAUUCUCUCCCAGGAACUGACAGUUUCCACUGGUUGAUUUUCUUUCAAUCCUAUCACCAGCAUAGUCAGCACGACAAAAUCCAACCAACUGAUAAUCUAGAGAUUUUCUAUAGAGAAGUCCAAGAUUAGUUGUUCCUUUCAGAUACUUGAAGAUUCUCUUUACAACAAUUAAAUGAGAUUCUCUAGGAUCUGAUGGAAUCUUGCACACAAGCAUACACUGAAUUAAAUAUCUGGCCUAGAUGCAGUGAGGUAUAACAAAGAACCAAUCAUACCUCUAUAUAGCUUCUGAUUUACCUUUGAUCUAGUAUCUUCUUUGCUUAAGGUACAGGUUGGAUGCAUUGGAGUGUUCAUCAAUUUACAAUCUUCUAGCUUGAACUUCUUCAGAAGCUCCUUUGUAUAUUUUGUUUGAUGAACAUAUACUCCAUCUUUGCUUUGAUUAAUUUGAAUUCCAAGGAAGAACUUUAACUCUCCCAUCAUGCUCAUUUCAAAUUCAUCCUGCAUUAACUUAGAAAAUUCCUUGCAAAGAGAUGCAUUAGUAGAACCAAAUAUUAUAUUAUCAACAUAUAUCUGCACAACCAGAAUGUCUUUCUUAAGAGUCCUUCUAAAGAGUGUUGUGUCAACCUGACCUAUCUUAAAAUCAUUUUUGAUUAAGAAAUUACUUAGUCUAUCAUACUAAGCUUUGGGAGCUUGUUUCAAGCCAUAUAGUGAUUUCUUAAGUUUGUAAACAUGGUCAGGAUGCUUAAGAUCCUCAAAAUCAGGAGGUUGCUUGACAUACACUUCUUCUUCAAUGACACCAUUAAGAAAUUCACUAUUGACAUCCAUUUGAUAUAAUAUUAUGCCAUGAUUAACUGCAUAGGAUAGAAGUAACCUGAUUUCUUCCAAUCUUGCAACUAGAGCAAAUGUUUCAGUGUAAUCAAUGCCUUCUUGUUGACUAUAACCUUGUGUAACAAGUUUGGCUUUGUUUCUGGUUACUUCACCUUGUUCAUUCAACUUGUUUCUGAAUACCCAUUUUGUUUAAAUAAUGUUCUUCUGCUGAGGUUUGGGUACCAAAUCCCACACAUCAUUCCUUUGAAACUGAUUUAGCUCUUCUUGCAUAGCUAAUAUUCAUCCAUCAUCUGAAAGUUCUUCAUCAACUGUUUUAGGUUCAAUCACUGACAACAAUCCUAUCAUAGACUUUUCUUGUCUGAAAUAUGAUCUUGUUCUUCUGGGACUAUCUUUGUUUCCAAUAAUUAAAUCCUCAGGAUGUGAAGACUUGUGCUUGAAUUUGGAUUGAACAACUUGCUGAGAGACAUCUUGAAUUUCUUCAGAAGCAUUUUCAUUUUGUGCUUCUGAGGUUGGUUCAGCUUAUGGAGUGGGUUGAGCUUCUGGACUUUCUUCAGAUUCAUCUUUCUGGUCAGAUUCUGAAGUGUCCUCAGUAAUUUGUAUAUCUAAAAAACUUUCAUCUUGCUUUGGAGUUUCACUUCCAGGCUCCUUGUCAUCAAAUUUAACGUGCAUUGAUUCUUCAACACAUAGUGUCUCUAAAUUAUACACUCUGUAUGUCUUUGACCUUUGAGAGUAACCUAGAAAGAUUCCUCUUUGGGCCUUGGCAUCAAAUUUCUUUAGGUAGAGUUUGUUAUUUAGAAUGUAAUAGGUACAUCCAAAUUGAUGAAAGUAAGAGAUAUUGGAUCUUCUUCUCUUAAAGAGUUCAUAUGCUGUUUUCUCCAAGAUAGGUCUGAUAUAGAUUCUAUUUUGGACAUAACAUGUUGUAUUCACUGCUUCUGCCUAGAAAUAGUUAGCCAAAUUGUUUUUAUGAAUCAUCGUUCUAGCCAUUUCUUGUAAAGUUCUAUUCUUUCUCUCUACAAGUCCAUUUUGUUGUGGAGUUCUAGGAGAAGAGAAUUCAUGGACAAUUCCAUUUUUUUCACAAAAAAUUUCAAAUGGCUCAUUUUCAAAUUCACCACCAUGAUCACUUCUGACUUUCAAAAUUUUCAUUUCUAUUUCAGAUUGUAUUUGAGUGCAGAAUCUACUAAAUACAUCACAUGCACAAUCCUUACUUUUUAGGAAUUUUACCCAAGUCCAUCUGUUGUAAUCAUCAACAAUGACUAAUCCAUAUUUACUUCCAUAUAAGGAUGCAGUGUUAACUGGUCCAAAUAAAUGAAUAUGAAAUAAUUCUAAGGGUAUGGAGGUUGAAACAAUGUCUUUUGCUUUAAAAGAUGAUUUCACAAUCUUCCCUUUCUGGCAUGCACCACAAAGUGCAUCUGAAUGAUAAUCAAUGUUAGGUAGGCCUUUAACCAGUUGUAACUUGCUAAGCUUAGAGAUUAACCUCCAGUUAGCAUGUCCCAACCUUCUGUGCCACAUCCAUUUCUUAUCAUUCACUGAAAGAAGGCAAACUACCUUCUGAUCAACUAAUUCAGAAAAAUUGAUUUUAUAGACAUUUCCAACUCUCUUUCCAUUGAAUAUUAUGGAUUUUCCGUCCUUUUUUAUUACAGUGCAACUGGUCUUAUCAAACAUCACAUCAUAACCAUUAUCACAGAAUUGAAUGAUACUUAACAGGUUAUGUUCAAGACCAUCUACCAGCCACACAUUAUUAAUUGAGCUAGAGGAGUUACCAAUAGUUCAUGUACCAAUGAUCUUGCAAGGUUGGCUGCCACCAAACUUCACAUUGCCUCCUUCUUUCAUUGUAAAGGUGAGGAACAUAGACUUCUCUCAUGUCAUGUGCCUUGAGCAACCGCUGUCUAGGUACCAUGAUUUUUGCUUUACUUUUGGUCUUAGACAUAUCUGCAAUAUUGGCAUUUUUGGAUUUAGGUAUCCAUUGUUUUAUGGGUCCUUUGGGAUUAGUUCUGGAAGUUUUGCUCUUCACACCUUGUACUUUGUGUUGUGAGUUUGACUACUUCUGAUUACUCAUUACCUUAGGUUCUGAGUUCUCAGUGGCAUCAACUGCUUUCUUCUUCUGAACCCCAGACUUUAAGAUGCCAGCUUCUGGUUUCAUCAGAUCCUGAGGAACAGGUUCUGAUCUCUUCAGAAGCUUAAUCUUUGGAGUCUUUGAUUCAGAAGCUGUCAUUGCCUUACGCUUAGAAUUCUUUGGCUUUGAAUUAAUCACAGCCUUAGAACUAGAAGCUUCUGGUUCUGACUGAACAACACUCUUAGGUACAAAGGUGGUUUUCAAACCUUCGUUAAUAUAUUCACAACAAGCUUUGAGACUGAUUUCAUUAGGUUUCCCUUAUGAAAAACCAAUCCCUCUGCCAUUGUUUCUGUAAAUGUUGUAUAUCAUAGAAGCGACUUUGCUUCUAUCAAUACCAGAUAUAAUGUACUCCUCAAGAGCAAUUUCCUCUUUGCUUAAAGAUUUUCCACUACACUUUUCUUGUAGCUUCUGACAAAGGUGGUUGAGUUUUUCUUCAUAAGUUCUACAAAUGAAGUCAAACCCUUUAAGCCCUUCUUCAGAAGCUUUCAGAUCCAAUAGAGUUGAUUCUUGUUGCUUCAUCAAAGCAACAUAUUUUUCUUUUAAAUCUAUCAACUAAUUGGUUCUGUAUUCAAAGUGUGUAAGAAGUUCUUUAAGAGACUCAAUUAAUUCCUCUCUGGGAAAUUUAGAAUAUACAUCAUUUUCAUCUUCAGAAUCUGAAUCAGUAUCUGCUUCUGAAGUCACUGUAGCCACUAACCCAACAACUACUUUAGCAUCUUCUUCAGAAUCUUCCUUUUUAGAGUCUGAUUCACUAUCUAAAUCCUCCCAUGUUGCCAUUAAGGUCUUUUUAAUUUGCUUCCUGAAUUUCCUUGUAUUGAAGCUAGAUUUCUUUGUCUUGUCCUUGGAUUUUUCCUUCUGAAGAUCAGGGCAAUCCGCAAUGAAGUGUCCAAGCUUCUUCCAGUUGAAGCAUCCCUUCUGAUCUUCCUUCUUGAAGUUCUUGUAGGCAUUUUUCUUCAUCAGAAACUUCAUAUUCUUCUUUGCCAGAUACUCCAGCUUGUUUGAGAGCAUAUCCAUCUUCUUAGUAGGAUCUUCAUCAAAAUCCCCAUCAGGUGAUUCUUCUUCAGAUUCCACAACCUUUAAAGCUUUUGAUGACUUUCCUCUUGAUGGUAGAGCAAUGGAUUUGCUUUUCUUGGAAGAUUCAUGUUCAUUAAUACUUAUCUCAUGAACUUUGAGAGAGCUGACAAGAUCCUCAACACUUAAAGUGUUUAAAUCUUUAGCUUCCUCAAUAGCAGUCACCUUUGGUCUCCAUCUAGCAGGUAAGCUUCUAAGUAUCUUGCUCACAUGAUCAGAAGCUACAUAGAUUUUCUUCGGUAUUUAAAGCCCAGAAACUAGAGUCUGAAAUCUUAAGUACAUUUGCUCAAUACUUUCAUCAUAUUUCAUUUUAAACAGCUCAUACUGAUGAACAAGCAUAUUUCUUACUGCCUACAUAGUUAGCACAGAGAGAAGCAAACGUUGGUCUAGUAGUGGAUUUGUCACUCAUCUUCAUAUACUCUGCUUUAGGUAUAGCUUUGACAAGUACUCCUCUGAUUAUGUGAUGCUUCUUGUAGAGUUUCUUCUGAUCAGGAGUAUGCUUUUUCUCCUAUCAAUGGCAGCUCCUUCUUCGUCAACGACCAAGUCACCAAUACCAUCUUCUAGUAUGUCCCAUAGCUCUUCGUCUAAACCCAUGACAUGACUGUAGAAGUUGGUUUUCCACCAGGAAAAUUCUUCAGGAUCUCCAUUGAACUUUGAAACUUUUCCAUAGUCAGAUUUCUUGUUGCUGCCAUAGUCAUAUGGAAUAGCACUACUUCUCGUACUGGAUUCAGGUUCUGCACUAGCACCAUACAUGUUUUUCUCAGAUCUUUCUCUGUUACACUGUUAAGUGUUUGACAACAGACCAAGGCUCUAGAUACCAAUUGAAGGUGAGAAAAACACAAGAAGGGGGUUGAAUUGUGUUGGCUUUUUCUUGUUUUUCUCCUAACUGAAAAUACAGAUCAGAAGCAGAUAGAGUUCUACUUCUGAAGAGAUGUUCAGACUAAUUGCAGCGGAUAAAACAGAGAGAGAGAGAGAGAGAGAGAGAGAGAGAGAGAGAGAGAGAAAAGACACAAGCAAUUUAUACAGGUUCCUUCCACAAACCGGAAGUCAGUCCUGUCCCCCUUGCACUUCCAAGGAGAGUUCACUAUGUAAUAUCUGAUUACAAAUGCUCACUACUAAACUUAUUAAGAGACUUCAAAUGCUCAAGCACAACUGCAAGAGACUUCCUAUGCUCCUGAACACAAUCAAGAGACUUAUAUUGCUCAAGCACAACUACAAGAGACGUCUAUUGCUCAAGCACAAAUGCAAGAGACUUUUGAAUUCAAACAGAAUUACAAAGAAAAUUGUUUGAAGUUGAACACUUGAUAUACAAUCACCGGUGUUCACUAUACAAAUCAGAUAUAGACUCUAAAGACUCUAGAAUUUCUAAGACAUGAGCUUUGAUAAGAAAUUCUAAGAGAACUUUGAAUGCAGGACAAUCUGAGUCUUCACUCCUUUAUAUAGAGGUGUGAAAGAGACGUUGAAUUGCCA